GCCAUACCCACGGCAUAUGGAGGUUCCCAGGCUAGGGGUUGAAUCGGAGCUGCAGCUGCUGGCCUACACCACAGCAACAGCAACACCAGAUCUGAGCUAUGUCUGCAACCUUCGCCACAGAUCACGGCAACACUGGAUCCUUAACCCACUGAGCAAGGCCAAGAAUUGAAUAUGAGUUCUCAUGAAUGCUAGUCAGAUUCAUUUCUGCUUAGCCAUGAUGGGAACUCCUAUUUCUCAAAGCAUUUAAACAACAUACCAGUUAAAAAGAAAUCAAUCUUUAUCCAUGGCAUCCAAAUUCGUGAGCAAUGACAGAAAUAAAUUGAUUUUAAGAUAUUUUGCUUUUAUCAGGCAUUGAUGGAUACAGAAAUUGUGAACUCUCUAUUUUACUUGUAAACUAUAUUUUUCUGAGCAUGUUGCUAAAAUGCCCACAUUCCUUUAUUACACAUGCUUUGGGAUCAAGGAUCAGUGAUUAGGAUUUUCUGGGUGAAAGGAAAGAGGCAGUUUGAAGUACAACACUAUAUUGAUUUCUGUUGACAAAAUUCUUUUAAGACCAGAGAACCAGGUUUGUAAGUUGGCUAAAUGGUCAAUUCUUCGAUACCUAUAUAUUUGAAAUACUGGGCUAUAGGGCAGAAGGACACCUGAGGCUUCCAUAAGGUACUGAGAGCAUCUUUAAGUCUGUUUCUCUCUCAUUUAGAAAUGGAAAUUUUUCCUGAGAAUUUUGUGUGAUCAAAUUGUGCAACUACAACUAUUUCCAUAUAAAAUAUUUAAAUACUCAUGGAAAACAUAUCUUUUCUCUUUCAGUAUUUAGAAAUCACAUAUAUUUCUCCCUAAGGGAACUAAAUGAUUAAUUCCAAAAGCAAUUACUCUUCCUUCCCCAUCAGUUCCCAUGGAAAUUACCAACAAAAUAUAAAAAUAAGGAAAAGCUAUAUCAGUACAGAAAACUAAAUAAGUCUACCAUUAAGAGAUUUCAGAAUCUUUGUUACAUCAAGACAGAUGGGGUAAGUUUAAGGGACAGCAUGGAAAAAGCACUUGGGAUUUUACCUAUGUUAUUGCAGUUUGGAGGUAAUUUGGAUAAAACCCCAUUAAUAGCCCUUACACAAAAUGGAAACCACAAAAGCAAGUUAAAGUGGGUAGGACCAUUAAUCCAAAAAUAAGGUAUUUGGGGACUAUAGUUAUGUGGCCAAGCCAGGCAGAGUGCAGACACUUACAAGGCUCAUUGAUGCCACAGGACAGAUUCACAGGAAUGAAACUCUGACUGUGAUUCUCUGACGCUUGACUCUGUCUUUUUUCUCCACCUGAGAGCUCUGACAUUACAAAGUUAUUUCUUCUCUUUUUGUGGACCUGAAGAUUUCAGGAAGGGACCCUGACAGGAUUUUCCCAUCUUCUGGGUUGAUUAUAAAUCAGUAAUCUCAGUAGAAAAGACUUAAAGGGAGAAGUAUAAACAAAUAAAGAACAAUAACCACAUGACUAAAAAGAAGAUUCUGCACUGAAAAAGCUGGAGUUCUGGAAGUCCAGAGAAGGUAGUUAGGCUAGAUGUUUCCAAACGGACCUAAACAAUGCUUGCAGAAUACUGGCAUACCAAAUUUUAUUAUGCUUCACUUUGUUGUAUUUAGCAGAUACUGCAUUUUUACAAAUUGAAGUUUUGUGACAACCCUGUAUGAAGCAAGUCUAAUGGCACCAUCUUUUCUAACAGCAGUUGCUCAUGUUGUGUCUCUGUCACAUUUUGGCCACUUUGUGAUUAUGGCUGAAACAAGACAGUCACAGGUAUACUCUACAACUAUAAAACUUACAGCCAUUCUGUUGAUUACCAGAAGGGCUUCUUUAUCAAUGACAACUUCAGCUUGAGUCCAUUUGCCUUCCAGAUAAAAAUGACUAAGACCACUAGUCAACGAACUGCCCCCACUUCCUGAGAGCACUCAAUUCAAAAUGAACCUUCAUUUUCUCCAUCCCUUUGUAGAAUCACAUAAACCAAGCCCAAAUACCUCAGUAAGCAUAUUCCAAAAUCUUUUCCGGAAAAUCCAUAUGUUGACAAUGAGGCAAAUAAAACCAACAAGUAUGUUUUUGGAAGUCAUGGCUGAUGAGCUUCAACCUCAACUUGAAUCAUCCGAAGCUGUGGUUGAGUAUGAAUUAGUCUGACAAAAAAAAAAAAAAGAGAGACAACACAAAAGAUUACAGGGAGAUCUAUUUCUAACAUUUUUUUUCUUUUUCAAGUAGAUUCAAGAGAAUAUAGAACUCUGAAACUUGAACAAACAAUAUGGUCAAGGGAAAUUUGAGCCAAAGGAAGAUUUCGUAAAGAUAAGAAGUAGAAUUGAUAGCAUUAAAAGGCAGACAGUGACCACUAGAUUGGAGAUUAGAUAAAAUUAGCUGAAUGGAAGAGGACAGUAGAAUGCUGAGUGGACACAAUGAUAUAAAGCAUACAGUGGAUGAGUGAGCAGGGAUUAAUUCUAGCCCAUAUAACUUGUGCCAAGCCACAGGACUUAACAAAGCUGUAUCCACCUACAGGAAGGGAAGCAUUUUUUCUCCCCCAAAGCAUCAUCUGCCUUGAAGGUUAGACUAUGUUAAUGACAGACGUGAAGAAAAGUAUAUUUCAUAGACUAGGUUAGUGCUUCCCAUGCAUUGGGGAACAACACAUGCAGAUGCUCAGAAACUCAACUUCUCAUUCUUGGGGAAGCCCAUAAGACCUGGGGUAGGCUGGAACCCUGGAAAUUCAUCCUCUCCAGCUGAAAGAAACCAUAUCUGUUUACUCCUAUUUACCAUAUAUUUUCUGUGGAAGCACUGGCCUUGAACAAUUCACUUAUUCAGUCAACCAGUAUUUAUCAUGGUGUGUACUUAGUUCUGGAGAACAGAUAAACAAAAGAGCUAAGACUUUAUAAGUUUCCUACAUUUGUCCACAUUAGUUUCUUUUGUAAUGUCCUUCUAAUUGUAUUGCCUCUUCUACUACCAUGCAACUCUAGUCCUCUAUUAUUUUUCUCCUGCUCCUUAAGGAAUUUUGUUAAGUUCUGAACCUGGGCUUUUAAUUUUGCAGUCUUUGUUUUGAAUCCUUAAAAGGAUCACACCAAGACACAUGAAUUAAAACCCACAGCAUUUCUAAAAUUGUUACAGGCAAACCAGUAUCAGCUCUGGCAGCAAAGAAGAGAAACACUGGAUAAUUUCAGCAAAAAGGGAAUAAGUGAAUUGUAAACAUAUUCAGAUUGAUAAAGCUUAGAAAUAGACUUGAGGCAGGAGAAGGCCUGUUUGUCCCCACUUAAAUUUUUAUAGUUGGAUAUAGAGUUCUGCUGUGCCUAUUUUGAGAUUUUCUGAAACAGAAGUUAUUAUGUUCAGAUGUUUUUAGCAAAUCCUAGAUAUAAAUUCAUCAUUUCAAUGCUGCUCUCUCCUUUCCAUUCUGUUCUUACUCUUCUAGCUCCUCUUCAUGGAAUCUACUGCUAUUGUUAAGUUUUCCUGCUUUUAUGAUAUGCUCAGCACAGUGUCUGACACAUAAUAGAUGUUCAAUUAAGGUGAGUUUUGUUUUUUCUUAAACUUUCUGCUUGGGUACACCUUUUCCCCAAGGUUUCUCUCUCCUAUCUUGUCUACCAAAAAUUUUCAACUUCAUUCUGUAUACAUCCUGGGCUGAAAUUUUUCACAGUUUUAGACUUCAUCAUAUUUAUAACUAAAAGGCAAUGCCAACUCCAACUAUGCUUUUAAAAUACUAAAGGCCCAGUGAUUACAUUUUAAAACAAAUAUGUUAGGCCCAUUGUUUGGAAAAGCUAUCAAAUCCAUAGCUCUUUUUCUGGGUCUGAUGUGAUUCUAAUAUUCACCCCUUGUGGGAGAAGUUCCAACUAAUUAGACCCAGAGUCAUUUCCUAUUACAUGUCUCUUCACCUAUCCACUUGUCCUAAUUCUGUAUUAGGAAAGAAGACAAAGGGAAGAGGUAAAAGCCCCUUUCUAAAUUUUUAAACUUUCCAUCUGAAUUCCCUUGAGAACUAGGGCUCAAAAUCAUGUAGACACUGUUUCCUUUAGGAUAAAAGGAGAUACUGUUACCCCAUAUGGUGAAUAAAUCAUAAUAAAUCUAAGACUCAGAACAAGAUGAGCAUUAGCAAGAGACCAGAGAGCAAGUUUGGAGAAUCUGAGGAUUAGCCAAUUGCUCCCUAAUGUCAAGGCAAGAUCCAGUAGAAAUAAUCAUUCUGACAUCUGACAGAAAAAGUCAAAGGUCAGGAUUUAAUGACACCAUAGUCUGAUUUCCCAACCUCAUUGAGCAGGUGCUUAAUAAGGCAUAAUUAUUUGUUAUGUUUAAAGAGCUCAGAGCAAAGUAAGAUGUGGAAUCACAAAAGAGAAUGAUUCUUGGCUCCAUUAUUCUGGUGAGAACACUGUAACCUUUUUGUUAAUGACAAUUAUGUUGAGGUCAUUGCUUUGUCAGAGUUAAUUUUUUUGCCUAAGAAAAAAAUAUGGAAUGCAAACAUAUUAUAUUACACGGAACUACGAAUGUCACUGAUGAGUUUUCAGUGAUUACAAAGGAGAAGAGAGUUUAAGGUCAGCAGAAAGAACACUGGGUGAUUAGAUAAAAAUGCAUUUUACUGAAACUUCUAAGUGAAAGGGUGUGUAAAGCUGGCAUAAAUUUCCACACAACCACCACAAUUUAUUCAUAAAAAAGAAAGAAUGAGAACAAGACUGAGAUUGAGGAGGAUGAUAGGGAGAGAAAAAGAGAUAGUAUAAGAUCUUUCCACCUCAAAUGUAAUUAACACUGACUGUAAGAAGUUUCAAUUAAUGAGAAAUUCUGAAAGCAUAACAAGCAUAAUAGCAUCAGAGAUUUAAAUAUGGCUCAUUAGGCAUGUUUCCUUCUCUUUUAAUUUUUGUCCUUAGAACUUGUUUAUAUCAACAUAUGUAACACUGAAACAAUUAACAAAAAGUGCAGGAGCUCAGGAAUCAGAACUGUCUGGGUUUGAAUCUGAGGUUCCCCACUUAACUGAGGCACCUUUGCUUGAGUGUGUUUCUGACCUUGUGUAUCUCUGUUUCUUUGAAAUAAUAGUACACAAUUGUAGGAAUUUAGAGUGACAAUCUUUGUGAAAUACAAACUUGUUAAAAACUGAACCAACACUCAAGAACACUAAUCUCCAUGUCUCUUGGUAUUUAUACCCUUGUGUAUUUCCCUUCUAUCUUGAAUCUCCUGGCUUCAUGACUCAUUUUAAACAAUAGAAAUAUUUAAACAACAGUAUUUAAACAGCACAGAAGUCACAUGGUAUCAAGUCUUAGAUCUAAUCCUUAAGAAGACCUGGAAGUUUCUGCUUUGAGAAGUCCUGAACCACAGAUGCAUUAAAUCUGGCCACCCUGCUGGAGAGACCACAAGCAGAGGGCGUGUGAAGAGGGAGAGGCCCUGAGGCUUCAGAGAAGGAAAAAGAGGCCCAGCUCAGGCCAGCCUUCCAGCACUCCCAGACAAGGAGCCAAACAGUUUUUUUUAGGACUGCACCCAGAGCAAUUGGAGGUUCCCAGGCUAGGGGUCAAAUUGGAACUACAACUACUGGCUACGUCACAGCCAGAGCAAAUGAGAAUCAGAGCCAUAUCUGUGACCUACACUAUUGCUCACAACAAUGCCAGAUCCACAACCCACUGAGCAAGGCCAGGGGUCAAAUCCUCAUCUUCAUAGGGUUCAUUACCGCUGAGCCAUGAAAGGAAUUCUGAGCCAGCUUGUGAUAGGCCAUUUUGGACAUUCCAGCCCCAGUGUCUCUAAUUAGCGAGAGAGACAUAGACGAAGACCAGAAAAUCACUAUAAAGUGAAUGAAAGCAUUAUGAGAUAUAAAUGGUUGUUAUUUCAAGGUACUAAUUUGUGAGGGGGUUUUGUAAUACAGUAAUUAAUAAAAACAAGCAACAAUGAAAACUUGUUGGGUUGUGCUGUUCAGUGAGGUAGCCACUAGCCACAAGUAGCUAUUGAGCACUUAAAAUGUGGCUAGCAUGGCUGAGAAACUGAGUUUUGAAUUAGAUGUAAUCUAAGUAAUUUAAACUUAAAAGCUGAAACAAUGUAAAAUACUUUUUUUCCCCUACUAAACACGUCUUUGUUUUGUUAGGAGGACAUUUCACUUUGGCGUAUUGCUUGUAAUAUUUUUAUUAGGUUUUUGUCAGGACCUAUGUCAUUUCUAGUAUUACACAAAAUACACUACCAAAAACUGUCAUAUAUAUUGAUAAUUUUAAAUCAAUUACUUACUGAAGUGGUUCGUUUUGGAUAUACUAGGCUACAUAGAAUACUUUUUUUUUUCUUUAUAGUGCCGUACUUGGGGCAUGUGGAAGUUCCCAGGCUAGGGGUUGAAUUGGACCUGCAGCUGCCAG
RNAcentral lists this long non-coding RNA (6293 nucleotides) under Sus scrofa (pig). RNAcentral's name for it is "lncRNA (ENSSSCG00065037352.1)". Lineage: Eukaryota; Metazoa; Chordata; Mammalia; Artiodactyla; Suidae. The record is from RNAcentral.